CCAGACUCCUACGGGAGGCAGCAGUGAGGAAUAUUGGUCAAUGGGCGAGAGCCUGAACUAGCCAAGUCGCGUGAGGGAGUACUGCCCUAUGGGUUGUAAACCUCUUUUGUCGGGGAGCAAAAGCCGGACGUGUCCGGCUGUGGGAGUACCCGAAGAAAAAGCAUCGGCUAACUCCGUGCCAGCAGCCGCGGUAAUACGGAGGAUGCGAGCGUUAUCCGGAUUUAUUGGGUUUAAAGGGUGCGCAGGCGGAUUUUGAAGUCAGCGGUAAAAAUUGGGGGCUCAACCCCGGCCGGCCGUUGAAACUGGGGGCCUUGAGGGGGCGAGAAGAAGGCGGAAUGCGUGGUGGAGCGGUGAAAU
Molecule: ribosomal RNA, 357 nt
Filed under: uncultured bacterium
Lineage: Bacteria
Description: partial 16S ribosomal RNA
Rfam family: Bacterial small subunit ribosomal RNA
Source: RNAcentral